AUUGAACGCUGGCGGCAGGCCUAACACAUGCAAGUCGAGCGGAUGAAGGGAGCUUGCUCCUGGAUUCAGCGGCGGACGGGUGAGUAAUGCCUAGGAAUCUGCCUGGUAGUGGGGGAUAACGUCUGGAAACGGGCGCUAAUACCGCAUACGUCCUGAGGGAGAAAGUGGGGGAUCUUCGGACCUCACGCUAUCAGAUGAGCCUAGGUCGGAUUAGCUAGUUGGUGGGGUAAAGGCCUACCAAGGCGACGAUCCGUAACUGGUCUGAGAGGAUGAUCAGUCACACUGGAACUGAGACACGGUCCAGACUCCUACGGGAGGCAGCAGUGGGGAAUAUUGGACAAUGGGCGAAAGCCUGAUCCAGCCAUGCCGCGUGAGUGAAGAAGGUCUUCGGAUUGUAAAGCACUUUAAGUUGGGAGGAAGGGCAGUAAGUUAAUACCUUGCUGUUUUGACGUUACCAACAGAAUAAGCACCGGCUAACUUCGUG
This 484-nucleotide ribosomal RNA is filed under the name uncultured bacterium. RNAcentral describes it as "partial 16S ribosomal RNA". It matches the Rfam family "Bacterial small subunit ribosomal RNA", at positions 30 to 507 of the family's 1533-position model. The record is from RNAcentral.